AUUUCUUCAUAGCAACAUAAAAUGGACUAAGACGUGUAUGGAAACUUGAAAUACAAGAAGAGAAUAUGAAGAAGUAAGACUAGAAAAGUAGAAAUGAGCCUUCAUUAUCAGAGAUAAGCAACAGCAAAGAGCUAAAGGUACCUGGAUGGGAUAACUGACUGAUAAUUGGAGACCAUCCUCAUGACUAUAACGUGAACUCCUCGGUGCACCUUUUUCAGAAAGGAACGUGGGUCUGGGUAGGUGAUGUCAACUUCCACAAAAACUGGAACUCUCCAGGCAGAAGCGGAACACCAUUCCCAAAGUGAGACAGAGGAGUGCAUGAUGUAUGUGAAUUGUAGACAAGAGGGGCUUCCCCCACGAUUGGAACAGCGCACCCACUCUCACAUGGCAA
RNAcentral lists this long non-coding RNA (391 nucleotides) under Homo sapiens (human). RNAcentral's name for it is "HSALNT0026298". The record is from RNAcentral. Lineage: Eukaryota; Metazoa; Chordata; Mammalia; Primates; Hominidae.